AAAAAUAUUAUCUAUUUUACUUUCCCACUCAAUGUACUCAUCAGCACCAAUACCAUCAUAAAUAGGCGGGGAAGAAAGAAUAGAAUGACCUACGAGACAAGGUGUAGCAGCAAUAGUGCGUGUCUCAUGCAUCAUAGAUGUCCCAUAUUGAUCAGUGUUAUACCUGUCAUUGUAGACACAAAACACAACAACAAACAAUGAAGAUUAUCCUAAAUAAUUCAACUAUGCAGGUGGAGUGGGUCCUCUCAAAUCAUAGCAAAGGAAACACACCUUAUCAAGUGCUUACAAGGUUCUUACUAUCAAGGCAAAGGAUACCUGGAAGGCAUAGCCCAAGAUUGCAAGGGUCUUUUUCUAUGCUGAUCUGAAGUAUAUGUGGAGCUUAGGAGGCACACAAAGAAUAAAUAUAUGUAUGUGGCACACAAUUCAGUAACAUAGAGCAAUACUGAAUACAUAUCCAGAGCACUUGUCCUAGUUGCUGGCCUAUAUGUGUUUCUAGCAUAAAUUGUGUAAACAGGGAUUAAAACAAGUAUAAAUAGAAACAAGUAUGAAAGGUAGCAACGCAAAUAUGUACAAGACAAAAGGCACCACAAACAAUAGAGCUAUUGAGUGUUCCCUGUGUGCUCUUUUUUUGAUCUCUUCUCUUUUCUUUUAAUAUUUUUUCUUUAAUUUUUCUGUCCAAUUCUUUUUUUUUUGCUUUUGCUUUUUUGAUAUUUUUCUCAGCUGGAAGCACACAGGCACAAAACACAAAAAAACUUGAGCUUUGUUGGAUAAAAGAUGUGGUCUAUAUAAAAUCAAGAUUAUACUCUAAAAACAUGUCAAAACUUGUGGGCCCAAAAACUCGAUUUUCCUGAUCAAAUUUCACAACUCUAAAUUUUGCGAAUCCAUCUAUGCUGGGAUAGAAUGGAUAUAAAAUUUUCUUGCAUUCUCCGUAGGUAUAAAAUUCACCUUGUUUCGAGUUCGGAUGUAAAAGUUAUGACAGUUUUAAGGAAACUGCUCGAAUCAGGGUUUUAGUGGACACAAGAUGCAAAUAGAUGGUGAUACGGGAUGAUGGCGGAUAAAGAGAUUAACCCAAACUAGAAAAGAACACAAUCUAAAUCAGCAACAAGACCUUGACCGACCUAGGACAUAAACUCAAUACAGCGGACUCUGAAACUAAAAUGUGCAAGGCUAUGGCACAGAUGGCUGUAGGACACGAAACAAAUAUGACGGUGGAUUAUGGGAUGAAGCAAAAUCAACUAAACUACGAUAAAUAUGAACUUUAUGGUAUACGUGAGGCUCUAAUACCAAAUAAUGGGGACAGGGUUCUCGAUCUUGUGUCAGGGUCAAGAUAAACAACAAUUUAUUCGGAGAGCAACACACCGAUCUGGCUUCCGAUCACAAAGACCCAAACCCUACAACCUUAGCACCACAUCUCCUCUGGUUAUCGACCGGCACU
This 1435-nucleotide long non-coding RNA is filed under the name Sorghum bicolor (sorghum). Its description in RNAcentral is "long non-coding RNA (SBIC_LNC000677)". The record is from RNAcentral. Lineage: Eukaryota; Viridiplantae; Streptophyta; Magnoliopsida; Poales; Poaceae.